Molecule: RNase P RNA, 312 nt
Filed under: Candidatus Woesearchaeota archaeon
Lineage: Archaea; Nanobdellati; Candidatus Woesearchaeota
Description: partial RNase P RNA component
Rfam family: Archaeal RNase P
About the family: Ribonuclease P (RNase P) is a ubiquitous endoribonuclease, found in archaea, bacteria and eukarya as well as chloroplasts and mitochondria. Its best characterised activity is the generation of mature 5'-ends of tRNAs by cleaving the 5'-leader elements of precursor-tRNAs. Cellular RNase Ps are ribonucleoproteins.
Source: RNAcentral
GGGUUCCCGGGAAACUGAGGAAAGUCUGCCCACCAUUAAAAGGCGACUCGGAGAAAUCUGAGAUUCAGUAAUGGAUGGCUCCAUCACAGAAACGGACCUUGCAUGAGGAGGAUGAUGCGUGACUCCCGUGGUGACACGGGCAUACGCGUUGACGCUCUCAUGCGAUUGGAUGAAACGGAUAGCCCUCGUUGGUGCAAGCACAGAACGUGCGCUAAGUAGAAUGCCCUGAACGCCUGUCCCGGCGGUUAAAACCCGUCACCAGUGUGUUAUCAUUGGUUUUGGAGGCGUACAAAAGGUAGCUUAUGCUUACCC